UACGUAGGGUGCAAGCGUUGUCCGGAAUUAUUGGGCGUAAAGAGCUUGUAGGCGGUUUGUCGCGUCUGCUGUGAAAUUUCGGGGCUCAACCCCGAACUUGCGGUGGGUACGGGCAGACUAGAGUGUGGUAGGGGAGACUGGAAUUCCUGGUGUAGCGGUGAAAUGCGCAGAUAUCAGGAGGAACACCGAUGGCGAAGGCAGGUCUCUGGGCCACUACUGACGCUGAGAAGCGAAAGCGUGGGGAGCGAACAGG
RNAcentral lists this ribosomal RNA (253 nucleotides) under uncultured bacterium. RNAcentral's name for it is "partial 16S ribosomal RNA". It matches the Rfam family "Bacterial small subunit ribosomal RNA", at positions 524 to 776 of the family's 1533-position model. The record is from RNAcentral.